This 400-nucleotide ribosomal RNA is filed under the name uncultured bacterium. RNAcentral describes it as "bacterial SSU rRNA". It matches the Rfam family "Bacterial small subunit ribosomal RNA", at positions 355 to 770 of the family's 1533-position model. The record is from RNAcentral.
UGGGGAAUAUUGGACAAUGGGCGAAAGCCUGAUCCAGCCAUGCCGCGUGAGUGAUGAAGGCCUUCGGGUUGUAAAGCUCUGUCGUGAGGGAAGAAAUACUGACGGUACCUCACAAGAAAGCGCCGGCUAACUCCGUGCCAGCAGCCGCGGUAAUACGGAGGGCGCAAGCGUUGCUCGGAAUCACUGGGCGUAAAGCGCACGCAGGCGGCCAUGAAGGUCGGAUGUGAAAGCCCGGGGCUCAACCCCGGAACUGCAUUCGAAACCGCAUGGCUCGAGGACGGGAGAGGAAGGUAGAAUUCCUGGUGUAGAGGUGAAAUUCGUUGAUAUCAGGAGGAAUACCGGUGGCGAAGGCGGCCUUCUGGCCCGUUACUGACGCUCAUGUGCGAAAGCGUGGGGAGCA